This is a long non-coding RNA of Lagopus muta (rock ptarmigan), 800 nucleotides long. RefSeq lists it as uncharacterized. The transcript is spliced from 3 exons. The record is from RefSeq and is a predicted model, not a curated record. NCBI's taxonomy places the organism in Eukaryota, Metazoa, Chordata, Aves, Galliformes, Phasianidae.
UGCUGGCUGCUGCCUGUCGUUUCCCUCAGAAUCAUUCCUGGGACUCCACCCGUUCCUCUCAGGAUAAUAUUUGAUCCUAACUGCUCAAAACCUCAUUUAGAUGCGUAUUUUUAACACAGCGUCUGUGAGUCCUGUUUCCUUCAGCGGCCGCGUACCCUGGGCGCUGCCGCCCUCCUCCCGCUCCCUCGGCUGCAGUCCACCCCGUCCAGCACGCAGGGAGUGAAACCGCGGUGCUUUGCCUUCGGCUCCUCCUCCUUCCUCUUCCCCUUCCUCUUCCUCUUCUCGCGACCGCUGCCUCAGAGGCCUCGCGGUCAGGCUCCGCUGCCCACCGCUUUAAGAGCCUUCAAAGAAGCGGGCUCCCGCCCAUGGCCCGCGGCCCUGCUUCGGGCUCCCCCGCGCGGGGCGGAUAGACAAGAUGGCUGCGGCCGGGUAGGGAGGCAGCACCAAGAGAUAAGGGGAUUUGCUGUGCCAGCACUAAAUUGAGACUAAGCUUCAAACUUUUAUACAAAAUUAUUUGUUGAAAAAAGAAGCUUCUGCACUACUAAGAGGAGAUGUCUGUGAAGUGCUGGACUGGGAGGCUGUGCAUGUUUCUGAAGGAAUUAACUUCAAAAACUUGACAGAAUGCAAACUCAAAUCUUUUAACAUUGUAUUUUGCUUAGCAACAAUAAAACAGUAACUGACUUUUACCAGAGCUGUAACUUGGGUCACUGGGGAGAGGGGUAAGAUGCUUUGACCUUCCACGAACAUUUGUGGUAAAAACAGAACUGAAGAAACUUCCUGCUCGUGUUAAGAUUCAUCUU